UAGUCCACGCUGUAAACGAUGUCUACUAGCUGUCUGAGACUAUAUGUAUUGGGUAGCGCAGCUAACGCGCCAAGUAGACCGCCUGGGGAGUACGGCCGCAAGGCUAAAACUCAAAUGAAUUGACGGGGGCCCGCACAAGCGGUGGAGCAUGUGGUUUAAUUCGAUGCAACGCGAAGAACCUUACCAUCCCUUGACAUCCCGAGAAGGACAAAGAGAUUUGUUUGUGCCUUCGGGAACUCGGAGACAGGUGCUGCAUGGCUGUCGUCAGCUCGUGUCGUGAGAUGUUGGGUUAAGUCCCGCAACGAGCGCAACCCUUGUCCUUAGUUGCCAGCCUUAAGUUGGGCACUCUAAGGNGACUGCCGGUGAUAAACCGGGAGGGAAGGUGGGGACGACGUCAAGUCAUCAUGGGCCCUUACGGGGAU
This 422-nucleotide ribosomal RNA is filed under the name uncultured bacterium. RNAcentral's name for it is "bacterial SSU rRNA". It matches the Rfam family "Bacterial small subunit ribosomal RNA", at positions 791 to 1210 of the family's 1533-position model. The record is from RNAcentral.